Molecule: ribosomal RNA, 369 nt
Filed under: uncultured fungus
Lineage: Eukaryota; Fungi
Description: eukaryotic LSU rRNA
Rfam family: Eukaryotic large subunit ribosomal RNA
Source: RNAcentral
UUGACCUCGGAUCAUGCAGGGAUACCCGCUGAACUUAAGCAUAUCAAUAAGCGGAGGAGAGAAACCAACUGGGAUUGCCUCAGUAACGGCGAGUGAAGCGGCAACAGCUCAAAUUAGAAAUCUGGCUCUGUUAUGGUCCGAGUAGUAAUAUGUAGAGGAUGCUUCAGCGUGGGCUCCGGUCUAAGUACCUUGGAACAGGACGUCAUAGAUGGUGAGAAUCCCGUAUGUGAUCAGUUGCCUAUGCCAUGUGAAGCUCCUUCGACGAGUCGAGUUGUGUGGGAAUGCAGCUCUGAAUGGGAGGUAAAUUGCUACUAAAGCUAANACUGACAGAGACCGAUAGCGCACAGUAGAGUGAUCGACAGAUGAAAA